Molecule: long non-coding RNA, 651 nt
Organism: Macaca mulatta (Rhesus monkey)
Lineage: Eukaryota; Metazoa; Chordata; Mammalia; Primates; Cercopithecidae
Source: RefSeq, a predicted model, not a curated record
UCGUGCAGCUGCACUCUAUCCUGGGCGACAGAGUGAGACUCCAUCUCAAACAAACAAAAAUCCUAUCCUGAUUCCUAAAGAUUCGCUUCAAGGCCCAGGAAAAUGGGUGUUAAGUAUCUCCACCCCCAGGAAUCUUCACUGGAGUCUCCUUACCUGACCAGGAGUGAGACCAGCAAUUUCAGGUGUCCCUGUCCCUGGGGCAUAGGCAGGAUCCAGAGCGUCAAUAUCAAAGCUGAUAUAAAUGGGUUUGCCUCCCAUCUGCUGCCUGACUUCUGCCAUCAGAGGAACCAGCGACUUCAUCCAGCAGUCUUCAGCCAGAACUACUCGGAAGCCCUGUGGAGACAGGGACUGAGGCUUCUGCCUGGCAGCAUUUACAGGGCGCUUCCUGUUUGCCAGCCCCUUGCUCAGCUCUAUGUGCACAUCACACUUGACCCUCCAUCUCCGUGAGGAGGGAACUAUCAUCCUAUUUUCCAGAGACAGGAUGAGAAUCAAGGGUGGUGGCACAGGCGAGCUUGGCUGAAGGCUCAACUAAACCAAGACAUACCCUUUCUCCGACCGAGGAAGAGGAAGCUUCAAUCCAGCUCUCUCCAUAACCUCCAUCAACCCCUGCCAGUCACCCAAAAUAAACGUAUGAUCCAAAUCCGUGAGAAA